This 497-nucleotide ribosomal RNA is filed under the name uncultured bacterium. RNAcentral describes it as "partial 16S ribosomal RNA". It matches the Rfam family "Bacterial small subunit ribosomal RNA", at positions 28 to 507 of the family's 1533-position model. The record is from RNAcentral.
GAUGAACGCUGGCGGCGUGCCUAAUACAUGCAAGUCGAGCGAAAAGACGAGGCGCUUGCUCCUCUGACGUUAGCGGAGGACGGGUGAGUAACGCGUGGAUAACCUCCCUAUCAGACUGGUAUCACUUCGGGACACCGGAGAUUAUCCCGGAUAAUAUCUUGAACCGCAUGGUUCAAUAGUGAAAGACGGUUUUGCUGUCUCUUAUCGAUGGAUCCGCGCCGCAUUAGCUAGUUGGUACGGUAACGGCUUUCGACGGCAACGAUGCGUAGCCGAGCGGCUAGGGUGAUCGGCCACACGGGAACGUGAACACGGUCCAUACUCCUACGAGAGGCAGCAGUAGGGAAUCUGCCGCAAUGGGCGAAAGCCUUACGGAGCAAGGCCACGUGAGUGAUGAAGGUCUUCGGAGCGUAAAACUCUGUUAUGAGGUAUGAACAAAUUUGGAAUGAACUAUGCACUUCUUGACGGUACCGAAUCAGAAAGCCCCGGCUAACUACGUG